CUCUCUCGUUAGACUCCGCCCCCUUUCUGCCUCUCCCCUGAACAGGGGCGGCCCGAGAUUUUUUGGGGGGCCCCGAACAGAAUUUGUUGUCAAACAAGCCUUUCGGUUCAGUCAAGGGAUCUUCAUCAUCAGCUAAUGUCCCAUUCCAUUGAAUCACAGCGGCGCGACCGGGCUGACCUAUUUCGUAGGCUCCUUCAAAGGCGGCCGACAAAUAUGCGUCCUUCCAUUCCCGAGCAACGAAAGAUCAAUCGAGUGGAUCCUUCCCGCGUCAACCUAUCCCAGGAUACCUUGCUGAUUCCUCAGAGACACACCGGGACCACUGAUUUAUUUUGGAAGAUGACCUGAGCUCUUGGGGCUAGAUGUGAACCCUGAAGGACAACGGCGGUGCCCAUGGGCCACAGGGGGGCGGUGUUUGCCGGUGAAACAGCAGAGGGAUGCACGGCAAUUAGAGCACGGCGAGAUGGAAACUGAUGAAUAUUUCAGCACCGCUGUCACCGCCGUGCCGUUCUGUUGGAGGGCAUCUGGAUUGUAUCCUGCUGCCACCACCCCCACCUGUCGGCCGCCCUGCCUGGCUUCGGCUUGACACAUGCUUGACACAUGCUUGGCAGAUAUCGUAUCAUGUGCCGGUGACAUCCGCGUUCUCCUGUCCAAGUAGCUGCACUGUAGAUGAGUAUGUCGUUUGUUCCACAAUUUAUAUCAUCUAACUGUACAAAUGUGAUGUCAGGCCUUUAUAGCUGAUGUUUGAGGCUAAUGUCUGAACUAAAGUUCACUUGGUCGCAACAGAGAUCUGAAACUAUUACUCACUACACAUAGUAUAAUCAGAGACUAUGCAACAACAUGCAAAUGCAAUUGCUUAAAAUGUUUUUUUAAGUCAUAAAGGCUAUUUGUUUAUCUUUAAUUUCCAUGACAUAUUCUACAGAAAUAGACAUUUGCACUUCCCAGUUAAUAUUCAAAAAGAAACAUCAAGAUGAACCCGCUCUACCUUUUAAAAAGAAAGCCUCUGCCCUGAUGCCCCUGAGCAAGACACACAAUUGUUUGACUCUCCUCUACAGUUUGCCAGGACUGAAGGUGUGACACUGUAUGAAUAUAAAACAGGAUAGUGCAUUAAAAACUGUGCUCAAGUUUUCCAGGACAAACAGAAGAAGAGGCGCAGACAAGCAAAUGAACGUGGUGAUAUAUCGGUGGCACCGACACUAAAGAAAUGUAACCUCGCUGCUCUUACCACUUAUGUCCGUUAUUUAAAUUCAAGUCCCGAUGAUAUAUUUCGACACAGAAGCCCAUGAGAAUCUUAAGAGAUAAAACACAAUCACAUUGGGUGUUGCCGCUUCCAUCCUCAUAAUCUAAUUUGGAAGCAGACAUUGCUCUGUGGGAAGUCUGCCUCUCUGUCUGUCUUCUGAGUAUGAACCCUGAGUGAACUUCAUCUCACCUGCUGUUUCACUAGCAAGCCCUGCCCCCGUGUGGCCCAUGGGCAGCGUUGCAUCCUACGGCUGAAGGCAAAAAGGGAGACUUUUUUUUUUUAUAAACAGUAAGAACCACAUUUGACAAUAUGAGGACACUUGUUUUCAUGUAAUGCCAGGUUUUGUAUGUGUCAUUUGUAUUUUCCUUCAUGGCAUUUAAAUUAAUAGAAGCAUUUAUAGACCUUACUUGAUUUUUUCCUCCUAGUUCCUUAAGGAUUCCCCUUCACAUCUUUCCGUUACGUCAUGGAGUUUCCCAUCAGGGUCAAGGAAUAGUGGUUAGAAAGCUUUUCGACUGCAGACCAGCACGAUUUCCAUGCUGGCGUCCGUAUAAUAAUACAUACGAUCGUCAGCACAAGAGUCAGAUGGGAGUCGAUGAGGACGCUGCUGCUGUACUUCACCUUAAAAAGGACAAAAAAUAUAUAUAUAUCGAAUAUAAUAUGAAACAGUCGGCAUAACAAUAACAGCCAGAGACGGAG
This is a long non-coding RNA of Scophthalmus maximus (turbot), 1933 nucleotides long. RefSeq lists it as uncharacterized. The record is from RefSeq and is a predicted model, not a curated record. Lineage: Eukaryota; Metazoa; Chordata; Actinopteri; Pleuronectiformes; Scophthalmidae. The transcript has 3 exons.